This 434-nucleotide ribosomal RNA is filed under the name uncultured bacterium. RNAcentral describes it as "partial 16S ribosomal RNA". It matches the Rfam family "Bacterial small subunit ribosomal RNA", at positions 29 to 507 of the family's 1533-position model. The record is from RNAcentral.
AGCGAACGCUGGCGGCAGGCUUAACACAUGCAAGUCGAGCGGGCACUUUCGGGUGUCAGCGGCGGACGGGUGGGUAACGCGUGGGAACGUGCCCUCUGGUUCGGAAUAACUCAGGGAAACUUGAGCUAAUACCGGAUACGCCCUUUUGGGGAAAGGCUUGCUGCCGGAGGAUCGGCCCGCGUCUGAUUAGCUAGUUGGUGAGGUAACGGCUCACCAAGGCGACGAUCAGUAGCUGGUCUGAGAGGAUGAUCAGCCACACUGGGACUGAGACACGGCCCAGACUCCUACGGGAGGCAGCAGUGGGGAAUAUUGGACAAUGGGCGCAAGCCUGAUCCAGCCAGGCCGCGUGAGUGAUGAAGGGCUUAGGGUUGUAAAGCUCUUUAUCCGGGACGAUAAUGACGGUACCGGAGGAAUAAGCCCUGGCUAACUUCGUG